GCAAGUCGAACGCGAACGGUUUCUUCGGGAACCUAGUAGAGUGGCGCACGGGUGAGUAACGCGUAAGUUAUCUACCCUCGCAUCUGGGAUAACCCACCGAAAGGUGUGCUAAUACCGGAUACGUCUAAGAUAAUAUCUUUUUUUUAGAGAAAGGUGGCCUCUGAUUCAAGCUACUGUGCGGGGAGGAGCUUGCGUACCAUUAGCUAGUUGGUAGGGUAAUGGCCUACCAAGGCAACGAUGGUUAGCGGGUCUGAGAGGAUGAUC
This 264-nucleotide ribosomal RNA is filed under the name uncultured bacterium. RNAcentral's name for it is "partial 16S ribosomal RNA". It matches the Rfam family "Bacterial small subunit ribosomal RNA", at positions 57 to 305 of the family's 1533-position model. The record is from RNAcentral.